ACAGAGGGGGCAAGCGUUGCUCGGAAUCACUGGGCGUAAAGGGCGCGUAGGCGGGAUGGCAAGUCAGUCGUGAAAUCUCUCGGCUCAACCGAGAAACGUCGGCUGAUACUGCCGUUCUUGAGGGAUGCAGAGGAGACUGGAAUUCCCGGUGUAGCGGUGAAAUGUGUAGAGAUCGGGAGGAACACCGGUGGCGAAGGCGAGUUCCUGGACAAGUCCUGACACUGAGGCACGAAAGCCGGGGGAGCAAACAGGA
This 253-nucleotide ribosomal RNA is filed under the name uncultured prokaryote. RNAcentral describes it as "partial 16S ribosomal RNA". It matches the Rfam family "Bacterial small subunit ribosomal RNA", at positions 525 to 777 of the family's 1533-position model. The record is from RNAcentral.